Molecule: ribosomal RNA, 447 nt
Filed under: uncultured bacterium
Lineage: Bacteria
Description: partial 16S ribosomal RNA
Rfam family: Bacterial small subunit ribosomal RNA
Source: RNAcentral
GGCCAGACUCCUACGGGAGGCAGCAGUGGGGAAUAUUGCACAAUGGGGGAAACCCUGAUGCAGCAACGCCGCGUGAGUGAAGAAGUAUUUCGGUAUGUAAAGCUCUAUCAGCAGGGAAGAAGAAAGACGGUACCUGACUAAGAAGCCCCGGCUAACUACGUGCCAGCAGCCGCGGUAAUACGUAGGGGGCAAGCGUUAUCCGGAUUCACUGGGUGUAAAGGGAGCGUAGACGGCGACGCAAGUCUGGAGUGAAAGCCCGGGGCCCAACCCCGGGACUGCCCUUGGAACUGCAUGGCUGGAGUGCGGGAGGGGCAGGCGGAAUUCCUGGUGUAGCGGUGAAAUGCGUAGAUAUCAGGAGGAACACCGGCGGCGAAGGCGGCCUGCUGGACCGCGACUGACGUUGAGGCUCGAAAGCGUGGGGAGCGAACAGGAUUAGAUACCCUAGUA